Molecule: ribosomal RNA, 404 nt
Filed under: uncultured bacterium
Lineage: Bacteria
Description: partial 16S ribosomal RNA
Rfam family: Bacterial small subunit ribosomal RNA
Source: RNAcentral
GACGAACGCUGGCGGCGUGCCUAAUACAUGCAAGUCGAACGCAGUGGGGACGGGUGAGUAACACGUUGGUAACCUCCCCAUCAGAGGGGAUAAAGCUUGGAAACAGGUGCUAAACCGAUAUUGAUGGAUGGACCAGCGGUGCGUUAGCUAGUGGGUGAGGUAACGGCUCACACAGGCCACGAUGCAUACCCGGCCUGAGAGUGUGAUCGGCCACACUGGGGCGGAGACACGUGCAAUAGUCCUACGGAAGGCAGCAGUAGGGAAUCUUCGGCAAUGGACGAAAGUCUGGCCGAGCAACGCCGCGUGAGUGAAGAAGGUUUUCGGAUCGUAAAACUCUUUUGUUAGAGAAGCGGUAUCUAACCAGAAAGCCACGGCUAACUACGUGCCAGCCGACGCGGUAAUAC